This 339-nucleotide ribosomal RNA is filed under the name Triticum aestivum (bread wheat). Its description in RNAcentral is "partial small subunit ribosomal RNA". The record is from RNAcentral. Lineage: Eukaryota; Viridiplantae; Streptophyta; Magnoliopsida; Poales; Poaceae.
AUGACUAGGGAUAACCUUAGGAAGAGACACAUCCAACCCCUUGAUUGUGUUUACUGCUUGGAACAAGAGUCUUGUUCUCACCUAUUUUUUGAAUGUAUAGUUGCUUAACAUCUCUGGGCCCACAUUGAGGAAUAUUUCUCUAGUCAGAUUGGCUCAUCCUUCGAAUAUGUCGCCAGAUUCUGGAUUGCUACCAAAAAGUGCUCAGUUUUUAAUACUGUUAGCUCAGCUGUCCUUUGGUGCCUCUGGAAAUAUAGAAAUGCUAUGAUUUUCAGUAACACCUCCUGGAUUUCCAUUCCGCAGGUCUUGAGGUUGAUCAGGAACAUGGUGAGGACUGGGUGA